RNAcentral lists this ribosomal RNA (301 nucleotides) under uncultured bacterium. RNAcentral describes it as "partial 16S ribosomal RNA". It matches the Rfam family "Bacterial small subunit ribosomal RNA", at positions 509 to 809 of the family's 1533-position model. The record is from RNAcentral.
CAGCAGCCACGGUAAUACGUAUGUCACAAGCGUUAUCCGGAUUUAUUGGGCGUAAAGCGCGUCUAGGCGGUUAAUUAAGUCUGAUGUGAAAAUGCGGAGCUCAACUCCGUAUUGCGUUGGAAACUGGUUAACUAGGGUACUGGAGAGGUAAGCGGAACUACAAGUGUAGAGGUGAAAUGCGUAGAUAUUAGGAAGAACACCAGUGGCGAAGGCGACUUUCUGGACGAAAACUGACGCUGAGGCGCGAAAGCCAGGGGAGCGAACGGGAUUAGAUACCCGCGUAGUCCCUGUCUCUUAUACA